Molecule: RNA transcript, 1149 nt
Organism: Amborella trichopoda
Lineage: Eukaryota; Viridiplantae; Streptophyta; Magnoliopsida; Amborellales; Amborellaceae
Gene name: Chaperone DnaJ-domain superfamily protein
Source: RefSeq, a predicted model, not a curated record
AAUAACUGGGCGAUUCAACACCAGAACCUAUUGUUCCUGAACUAUUAUCAAAUUUGAAAUCCAAAUCCAUUUUAUGCAAUGUUUUUGGCUUCCAUUGAUUGAUUGAAAAUGGGGUUUUACUUUGAUUUAAACGGACCUCGUUUUUUUUGGAAAAUUUGAACUGAGCACAAAUUUGGGCUCUCCAUUUUCUUGUUUUUGAUGAUUUUGAGGACCUUUAUUUUUCUUGGACUUCUUUCGUUUCCUGAGAGUUGGAUCAAUGAAUAAUGUACUCUGGGGUUUGAAACCUUUCCCACACUGCAUUCCAGUAGAUGGAAGACAAAGAUGAUAACAAAAAGGACUAUUACAAAGUGCUCGAAGUUGACUAUGAUGCAACUGAUGAGAAAAUCAGACUGAAUUAUCGAAGACUUGCCCUGAAAUGGCACCCUGAUAAGCAUAAGGGGGACAAUGCUGUCACUGAAAAGUUCCAAGAGAUUAAUGAAGCUUAUAAAGUGUUGAGCGAUCCAGUGAAGCGCCUUGAUUAUGAUCAUUCUGGAAAUUAUGAUGUUCACAGAUACACUUUACAGGAAUAUCUUAGCCGCUUCAAAGGAAUGAUACUCACUUGCAAUGGCCUUGGUAUUGGCGAUGCUUCUAUUUGGGCACAUCAAUUGAUGGACUCUAGCGACUAUAGAGAUAUAUGAACCUGAUGUUCAGGGUGGUGGGUGGCCAGAACAUUGAUUUCUUUAGUUCUAUUUCUACAACAGGUAGGAAACCAAUCCCCCAUGAACUAUGGUCACAAUGAUAUAUCAAAGGAACGUAAUAGAUAAUACACUUGGUUCCUGCUUGCUUGCAUUCUAAGGGAGUGCGUACCUGCUCAUGAAUAUUCUUGUCAUUGCAAUAUUACCAUAUGCACAGUAUGAUAGAAGAAUUAGGUUUCCUUUCCUUGAUCCUUAAUUUUUGCAGACAUUGCCGGCAAAAUUGUCGGCAUAUUUGGUGGCAAUAAACUCAGAAGAAAUUGAGAUUUCGGAAUAAACUCAAGAAGAAAUUGAGAUUUGAGAAUCUUUUUAAGCAUGGAGAACUUCCUAUGGCGCUUCUUAUCUGAAAUUGUACACUAUUACCUGGAAUUUUUCUUUUGACGGUUAAAAACCUACACUAUAAGCAUGCAGAAUUUCU